GAAGAGCCGAAGAAGAAGGAAAGGAAAGCAGCCGGAGCUGCUUUCACGUGGAUUCAAGCAAACUUUGCGCAUUGCCCUGCGGAUGCCACUGAUGAUGUGAUACAGACACAUGCUCGUGUCUAUAUGUGGUACGUUGUCUCGAGGACUUUGUUUCCUGACUCCACGGGCAAGAACGCUCCAUGGAUGUGGUUGAAGGCGUUGACCGUCUUAGAUAGCAAAUGGAGCUGGGGUUCAGCGACUCUUGCGUACUUGUACCGACAAGUAGUUGGUUUGUUUUGUUAUCAACUCAUUUGUUCAUUACCAAUGCAACCUUCCUGUCCACUUAACAUUGUUUUUCUUUCAUAUGCAACUGGACGAUGCGUGUUGCAGGAUCACAGAUAG
Molecule: ribosomal RNA, 381 nt
Filed under: Triticum aestivum (bread wheat)
Lineage: Eukaryota; Viridiplantae; Streptophyta; Magnoliopsida; Poales; Poaceae
Description: partial small subunit ribosomal RNA
Source: RNAcentral